GUGUCAGCCGCCGCGGUAAUACAGAGGGGGCAAGCGUUAUUCGGAAUUAUUGGGCGUAAAGGGCGCGUAGGUGGCCCGGCAAGUGGAAGGUGAAAUCCCUCGGCUCAACUGAGGAACUGCCUUCCAAACUGUUAGGCUUGAGUCCGGGAGAGGUGAGUGGAAUUCCCAGUGUAGCGGUGAAAUGCGUAGAUAUUGGGAGGAACACCAGUGGCGAAGGCGGCUCACUGGACCGGAACUGACGCUGAGGCGCGAAAGCGUGGGGAGCAAACGGGAUUAGAAACCCUAGUAGUCC
This 292-nucleotide ribosomal RNA is filed under the name uncultured bacterium. Its description in RNAcentral is "partial 16S ribosomal RNA". It matches the Rfam family "Bacterial small subunit ribosomal RNA", at positions 505 to 796 of the family's 1533-position model. The record is from RNAcentral.